ACAGUGAGAAAGUGGCCAAAUGCAAGCCAAGAAGAGCAGCCUCAGAAGAAACCAAACCUGUCCACACUUUGAUCUUGGACUGGCAGCCUCC
Molecule: non-coding RNA, 91 nt
Organism: Ceratotherium simum simum (southern white rhinoceros)
Lineage: Eukaryota; Metazoa; Chordata; Mammalia; Perissodactyla; Rhinocerotidae
Source: RefSeq, a predicted model, not a curated record